Non-coding RNA from Paramuricea clavata, 423 nucleotides. The record is from the annotation of a GenBank genome assembly. Lineage: Eukaryota; Metazoa; Cnidaria; Anthozoa; Malacalcyonacea; Plexauridae.
UCAUCGCUGAUCCUAAUGCUGUACGGGGAAAUUGGCAAAAUGGAAGAGUUAUCCGAGUAUUCCCAGGAGAUGACGGAUUAAUCAGAAAUGUGGAAGUGAAAACAGCAACUGGAAAUUAUAGACGCCCAAUUACGAAGCUCUGUGUUAUUUAUCCUGUCGAAGGCUUUAAAAAAUUAAAUGGGAUUCUCCCAUUGUCCGGGGGUAUGUUGCGUUUGAAAGCGAGAGCCGCUAGAGGACUGGGGCGAAUGGCGGCCAGCACGAAGUGAAAUUAAAGUAAAGAAACAAAUUAUUUAGAUUUUAUUGUUGAAGAAAGGUUAGAAACGAUGGACGUAGUCGGACAAAUGUACGUUUACCUAAUUUUCGCCAUUUUGAACUUUAUUUCUUAGAUCUAUAUCGUAAACAUUGUCAUAUUUGUAUUUUGUA